UUCUCUGUCCUAGGACAACUAGGAAUGAGAGGCAAAGAAAUGUGAUGGAUUUGGAAAGGUUUGGGACCAGCUUGCCUCCCGUAGGCUCAAGAUCAACCAUCCCACAGAG
Molecule: small nucleolar RNA, 109 nt
Organism: Mastomys coucha (southern multimammate mouse)
Lineage: Eukaryota; Metazoa; Chordata; Mammalia; Rodentia; Muridae
Product: small nucleolar RNA SNORA38
Exons: 1
Source: RefSeq, a predicted model, not a curated record